GUCCAUCUUGAGAAGGAUACAACAAUGGGAUUUGUGUUUCGCAAAACUGCGUAGAGCGAAAAACCCUGCCAUGAGUUCCAGGCAGUUUAUAUGCAUAUUCGUCUCUUCUAGAGACUAUUUGCCUCCACAAUGAGCUCCCCAGCCUAAACGACUUGCGUCGGAUUCUAUAGUUAGGUCUGGGAAUGACGUGAAAAUGGCUUUCCCGUUCCAAAUUUGAACGUGAUCUAACCACCAGGAAAGUUCUAUUCUUAUCUCUGAAGUUAGAG
Molecule: non-coding RNA, 266 nt
Organism: Pelobates cultripes (western spadefoot toad)
Lineage: Eukaryota; Metazoa; Chordata; Amphibia; Anura; Pelobatidae
Source: the annotation of a GenBank genome assembly